GCCGGGCGUGGUGGCUCACACCUGUAAUCCCAGCACUUUGGGAGGCUGAGGUGGGCGGAUCACCUGAGGUCAGGACUUUGAGACCAGCCUGACCAACAUGGUGAAACCCCAUCUCUA
Unclassified non-coding RNA from Pongo abelii (Sumatran orangutan), 117 nucleotides. It matches the Rfam family "Metazoan signal recognition particle RNA". Rfam says of the family: The signal recognition particle (SRP) is a universally conserved ribonucleoprotein. It is involved in the co-translational targeting of proteins to membranes. The eukaryotic SRP consists of a 300-nucleotide 7S RNA and six proteins: SRPs 72, 68, 54, 19, 14, and 9. NCBI's taxonomy places the organism in Eukaryota, Metazoa, Chordata, Mammalia, Primates, Hominidae. The record is from Ensembl.